Drosophila virilis is the source of this 2371-nucleotide non-coding RNA. Lineage: Eukaryota; Metazoa; Arthropoda; Insecta; Diptera; Drosophilidae. The record is from RefSeq and is a predicted model, not a curated record.
CGUAAAUAUCUGCAAGAAAUUAAGUACAUAUUAAUAUAUAUAUUAUAUAAUACACCGUUUUUCUCAACAAUUUUCAUAUUCAGUGGCUCAAUUGCCUUGAACCCAUUUGCGACUUCAUUUAGUUUAGAUUCUUCCUUUGCGCAUAGAUUGAAUGAAUUCCACGUUGUCGUCUUUGCUCUCAUUUCCUGUGCUAGACAGCUCAAACUGAUAUGCAGGCCGACAUCACUUAUGUCUAAAAUGUCUAUCGCAGUCGAAAAUAUUUGGACCUCCAGUGCUCCAUACACCUGAUACAUCUGCUCCAAUACAUUAUAAACUAAAGUGUUCGGUUGCGGGCGACACUAUUCUGUAAUGUUAUUUGUUUUUGGCUUAGCAAUGUUAAUCUUAUUUUUUUUUUGCCUUUGUCUUUGGAUUUAAGUGACUUAUAGUAUAAUUCAACCGUCCAACAUUCUUACAUGUUUUUGCGAAUAUAACAUUUUUGUCGAAUGUUAAAAAUGGGGCCUGUACAUAAUCCCAUAGGAAAAAAUGUCAAAAAUAUGACAUUUUCUCAAACUGUGUAUAUUCGCCCCGAACAAUUCGAGUACUUUUUCCACUCACAUGUUACCGACGGCGGGCACUUGCCAAUGGAACCACAAAGUGGGAGAUUUAAAAUGUAACAUUUUUUGAGCAUAGUGGAAUUAGGCUAUAAGCGGACGUCUGUAUGCCAGUUCUCAUGGCUAAAUUUUCCUAAGGCUGUCUUGAUUAAUUUACUUUAACAACAGAUUCAAGUUCACUGCAUCACUGUCAUUUAAUUUUAUUAUUCAUUUUAUAAUUUAAAACUGAUUUUAUGUCAAAAGGCAGAUGGAGAGUAGUAUAAGAUAGAAAUAUAUGACACGUGGUAAUUGCUAGUAAUAAAAAAUUAUCGAGAGUCUGAUUUGUGAUGUUGAGCAGAGCGGACAUGGUGAAAAGCGCGGACUCAAGAAUUCAUCAAAAAAUACUAUAAGGUAAAAGUAUAUAAAUAAAUAAUAAUCGUAAAUAAUCAAAGUCAUGUAUAUACGUUCACCCUAUUGGGCUAAGUACAUGCCGCGGCUGCCAACGCCACCAGGACGCUUCCCCUUAUUGUUGAAGUCCUUCCUUCCCUUAAACAGCGACUGAGGAGGGGGGUUAAGAAGGAGGUGACUAUUCUAAACAAAAAACUCAGACACCAUGCUGGAGUAAGCAACGGUAGACGAGAGCUCCACUUACGCGCUGUGGAAACUAUACAGGCUAUACAAACAGCACGUUGCGCCAAAUUUUCCCGUCCGACAUCCCGAUAGCUCCAGUGCCAGAAGACUGAGUCGAAGCAGUAAUUUAAAACCUGGAAGAGCCUUUAAGACGAUUAAUACCGCAUCGCAUGGCAGAAGCCAGCGCACAAGGUCUAAUGUCCCUCCCGCAGCCCUUAUCAUCUUCCAAAAAGUCAAGCAGGAGAUAAAGAGCUUCAAACAUAAUAAAGCCAGUGGGGAAGAUCGUUUGGACAACCAGACAAAUAAGUUACUGCCGUACAAGGCACUGUUUUUUCUCGUCGUCUAGUGGCCAGGAAGAACGCGCAAAUCACUAUGAGCGGAGAGCUUCCUAAUCAGUUAGGGUCCUUUCGCCCCGUCAGCGUCCUGCCUGCCUUCGGCAAGAUUCUGGACCGUUAAAUCCCGAAGCUCUAAUUUGGGUUCCGACUCAAGCAUGGCUAACUCCAGUUUGGACUUAACCACAGGAAGGAAGAAGUUUAUAAAUGGACCACAGAAAGGCCAUCUCCUGAUGGCCACGUUUGCAUGCUCGAACAGAUGGGCGAAUGAAGCGGCAGACAUCCUGCAGGCUGACAUUUCAGUGAACAUUGAACUAUGUGCUGCGGUCACUCAUACCGUGCGCAAAGACUCCUGCCUCGGACUUUUUCUCCAUAGUGAGCUCUUAAAGCAGGUGAACCCAAUACAUAACGAGAAUAAUUUGCACGGCUGGACUUAAGCAGAGGAGAGCGAUGGCCAGAUAUAUUAACCAAAUACCUUUACAAUGAAGGACAUUAAAUCGCCACUCAGUAGAAAUGUGCAAUGUCCCUAUGGAUAUUAAUCUGGCUCUUAAAUGCCCUUUCUAUGCUUGCUCCCAUUUUGAAGAUAUAAUAACAAAAAAAAAAUUAGUUGUUGGCGUUAAAAGGGUGUUAAGCUGCUUUGCUUAUGCACCGCCCAAUUUGUUGAUGUAGGGAAAGGGGAAGACUUCACCUUUCGUUUGCCUUUUCUUUUCAAGCCAGCCGAAAUAUGUAAUUACUGCCUCGAUCCAAUUAUGUAUGUUCAUCUACACCAUCGCACCGCAAAGAACAUUUUCAACGCUUUAAACGAAACGUACCAUAAACAAACUAUCUUAUAAGUUAUAA